AUUGAACGCUGGCGGCAGGCCUAACACAUGCAAGUCGAGCGAGCGGCGGACGGGUGAGUAAUGUAUGGGAAACUGCCCGAUGGAGGGGGAGAAAUCCUGGAAACGGUGGCUAAUACCGCAUACUGACAGAUGGACCCAGAUGGGAUUAGCUAGGAGGUAAGGUAACGGCUUACCUAGGCGACAAUCCCUAGCUGGUCUGAGAGGAUGAUCAGCCACACUGGGACUGAGACACGGUCCAGACUCCUACGGGAGGCAGCAGUGGGGAAUAUUGCACAAUGGGCGCAAGCCUGAUGCAGCCAUGCCGCGUGUAUGAAGAAGGCCAUCGGGUUGUAAAGUACUUUCAGUCGGGAGGCGUUACCGACAGAAGAAGCACCGGCUAACUCCGUGCCAGCAGCCGCGGUAAUUC
RNAcentral lists this ribosomal RNA (406 nucleotides) under uncultured bacterium. RNAcentral describes it as "partial 16S ribosomal RNA". It matches the Rfam family "Bacterial small subunit ribosomal RNA", at positions 30 to 526 of the family's 1533-position model. The record is from RNAcentral.